Molecule: long non-coding RNA, 293 nt
Organism: Mauremys reevesii (Reeves's turtle)
Lineage: Eukaryota; Metazoa; Chordata; Testudines; Geoemydidae
Exons: 3
Source: RefSeq, a predicted model, not a curated record
CUUAAAUCCAAGGUUUAAUUUUAGCAGGACAACAGAACAAGAGUUUUUCAGGUUAGACUGGAAUCAUUUCUUCUGGGUCAGCCGUGCUAAGAUUUGGACUGUUGUUGUUCUGUGGGAUGCCAUUUGUCAUCACAAAUGCACCAUUUCUUAUACUGGGACAAAUUGGAAAAAGUGCAGACUGAGUGAGCAGGAGGGACAUGGCUAACAAAACUAGCAUGUGGUGAUGGAGGAAUGAUUGUUGGCAACCAAAGAAUUUGUUCUGAAGAAGGGGGACCCUGUUGAGUGAACUACUG